RNAcentral lists this ribosomal RNA (497 nucleotides) under uncultured bacterium. Its description in RNAcentral is "partial 16S ribosomal RNA". It matches the Rfam family "Bacterial small subunit ribosomal RNA", at positions 28 to 507 of the family's 1533-position model. The record is from RNAcentral.
GAUGAACGCUGGCGGCGUGCCUAAUACAUGCAAGUCGAGCGAAUAGACGAGGAGCUUGCUCCUCUGACGUUAGCGGCGGACGGGUGAGUAAUACGUUGAUAACCUACCUAUAAUACUGGGAUAACUUCGGGAAACCGGAUCUAAUAACUGGUAAUAUAUUAAACAUCAUGGUUCAAUAGUGGAAGACGUCUUUUCGGUCAAGUAUAGUGGGGUGCUAGCCGCAUUAGCUAGUUGGUAAGGUAACGGAUUACCAAGGCAACGAUCCGUAGCCGAACUGAGGUGGUGAUCGGCAACACUGCAACUGGGAUAAGGUCCAGACUCCUAAGGGAGGCAGCAGUAGGGAAUCUUCCGCAAUGAGCGAAAGCCUGACGGAGAAAAGCCGCGUGAGUGAUGACGAUCUUCGGAUCGUAAAACUCUGUUAUUAGAGAAGAACAAAUGUGUAAGUAACUAUGCACGUCUUGACGGUACCUAAUCAGAAAGCCACGGCUAACUACGUG